RNAcentral lists this ribosomal RNA (379 nucleotides) under Microcystis aeruginosa. RNAcentral's name for it is "bacterial SSU rRNA". It matches the Rfam family "Bacterial small subunit ribosomal RNA", at positions 196 to 593 of the family's 1533-position model. RNAcentral also lists the same sequence under 1 other name. Lineage: Bacteria; Bacillati; Cyanobacteriota; Cyanophyceae; Chroococcales; Microcystaceae. The record is from RNAcentral.
CAAGGUGAAACCUAAUUGGCCUGAAGAAGAGCUUGCGUCUGAUUAGCUAGUUGGUGGGGUAAAGGCCUACCAAGGCGACGAUCAGUAGCUGGUCUGAGAGGAUGAGCAGCCACACUGGGACUGAGACACGGCCCAGACUCCUACGGGAGGCAGCAGUGGGGAAUUUUCCGCAAUGGGCGAAAGCCUGACGGAGCAACGCCGCGUGAGGGAGGAAGGUCUUUGGAUUGUAAACCUCUUUUCUCAAGGAAGAAGUUCUGACGGUACUUGAGGAAUCAGCCUCGGCUAACUCCGUGCCAGCAGCCGCGGUAAUACGGGGGAGGCAAGCGUUAUCCGGAAUUAUUGGGCGUAAAGCGUCCGCAGGUGGUCAGCCAAGUCUGCC